CGGGUGAGUAACACGUGGAUAACCUACCUAUAAGACUGGGAUAACUUCGGGAAACCGGAGCUAAUACCGGAUAAUAUUUUGAACCGCAUGGUUCAAAAGUGAAAGACGGUCUUGCUGUCACUUAUAGAUGGAUCCGCGCUGCAUUAGCUAGUUGGUAAGGUAACGGCUCACCAAGGCAACGAUGCAUAGCCGACCUGAGAGGGUGAUCGGCCACACUGGAACUGAGACACGGUCCAG
RNAcentral lists this ribosomal RNA (237 nucleotides) under uncultured Staphylococcus sp. Its description in RNAcentral is "partial 16S ribosomal RNA". It matches the Rfam family "Bacterial small subunit ribosomal RNA", at positions 103 to 334 of the family's 1533-position model. Lineage: Bacteria; Bacillati; Bacillota; Bacilli; Caryophanales; Staphylococcaceae. The record is from RNAcentral.